UACGAAGGUCCCAAGCGUUAUCCGGAUUUAUUGGGUUUAAAGGGUGCGUAGGCGGGUUAUUAAGUCAGUGGUGAAAGCCUACAGCUUAACUGUAGAAUCGCCAUUGAUACUGAUAAUCUUGAGUAUGAUUGAGGUGGGCGGAAUGUGUCAUGUAGCGGUGAAAUGCUUAGAUAUGACACAGAACACCGAUUGCGAAGGCAGCUCACUAAGUCAUAACUGACGCUGAUGCACGAAAGCGUGGGGAGCAAACAGG
RNAcentral lists this ribosomal RNA (253 nucleotides) under uncultured bacterium. Its description in RNAcentral is "partial 16S ribosomal RNA". It matches the Rfam family "Bacterial small subunit ribosomal RNA", at positions 524 to 776 of the family's 1533-position model. The record is from RNAcentral.